GACGAAGGUGGCUAGCGUUGUUCGGAAUCAUUGGGCUUAAAGAGCACGUAGGCGGCCCGCCAAGUGUCUUGUGAAAUCCCCCGGCUCAACCGGGGAAUGGCUCGGCAAACUGGUGGGCUUGAGGCAGGUAGGGGCGAGUGGAACUCUUGGUGGAGCGGUGGAAUGCGUAGAUAUCAAGAGGAACGCCGGAGGCGAAGGCGACUCGCUGGGCCUGUCCUGACGCUCAGGUGCGAAAGCCAGGGGAGCAAACAGG
RNAcentral lists this ribosomal RNA (253 nucleotides) under uncultured bacterium. RNAcentral describes it as "partial 16S ribosomal RNA". It matches the Rfam family "Bacterial small subunit ribosomal RNA", at positions 524 to 776 of the family's 1533-position model. The record is from RNAcentral.